CCUACGGGAGGCAGCAGUAAGGAAUAUUGGACAAUGGACGCAAGUCUGAUCCAGCCAUGCCGCGUGAAGGAUUAAGGCCCUCUGGGUUGUAAACUUCUUUUAUAGGGGACGAAAAAAGGGCUUUCUAGCUCGACUGACGGUACCCUAUGAAUAAGCACCGGCUAACUCCGUGCCAGCAGCCGCGGUAAUACGGAGGGUGCAAGCGUUAUCCGGAUUCACUGGGUUUAAAGGGUGCGUAGGCGGGCAGUUAAGUCAGUGGUGAAAUCUUCGAGCUCAACUCGGAAACUGCCAUUGAUACUAUCUGUCUUGAAUAUUGUGGAGGUGAGCGGAAUAUGUCAUGUAGCGGUGAAAUGCUUAGAUAUGACAUAGAACACCGAUUGCGAAAGGCAGCUCGCUACACAAAAUAUUAGACGCUGAGGCACGAAAGCGUGGGGAUCAAACAGGAUUAGAUAACCCUGGUAGUCCACGCCCUAAACUAUGGAUACUCGACAUUUGCGAUACACAGUAAGUGUCUGAGCGAAAGCAUUAAAGUAUCCACCUGGAAGUACGACGCAAGGUUGAAACUCAAAAGGAAUUAGACGG
This 582-nucleotide ribosomal RNA is filed under the name uncultured bacterium. Its description in RNAcentral is "bacterial SSU rRNA". It matches the Rfam family "Bacterial small subunit ribosomal RNA", at positions 338 to 916 of the family's 1533-position model. The record is from RNAcentral.